CCUGUCCUAGUCACAGAAAUACUGAGUUUUUCUGCAAAAGCAAAGCCAAGUUGUGGGUGGCAAGGAGGAAGAUGCAAUGCUAGCAGUGGUUUCUUUUGAUCCAUCUCUGCUUCUUGGAUAAAAAUCUCUGAUAUUACGUUCUUGAACUCAGUUGUUCCAGUGGUAGCCUCCUAAAUCUGCACCUUGUUGAUUGUGUCACUAUGGAAACUGGCAAUACAGUUCAGCAAUGUUUUUUGGGAGUAAGCCCUGAAGGCACAGCCAAAAGUCUGAUUUUCCAGCUCUUCCUACAAUGCUACAGAGUCUCACUCCGUGGCCCAGGCUGGAGUGCAAUGAUGCAGUCUCGGCUUGGCUCGCUGCAACCUCCGCCUCCCAGGUUCAUGUGAUUCUCCUGCCUCAGCCUCAGCUGGAAUUACAGGUGCCCGUCACCACACCCAGCUAAUUUUUGUAUUUUUAGUAGAGACGGGUUUUCACCAUGUUGGCCAGGCUCGUCUCAAACUCCUGACCUCAAGUGAUCUGUGUGCCUUGGCCUCUGAAAGUGCUGGAAUUACAGGUGUGAGCCACUGCACCCAGCCUUAAGUAAGUUUUAAUGUAAAAUUUUUCUAUAUUCAAAAUUUCCAAAUAAUAACUUUAUUUCCUCAUUUACAUUUAAGCCCUAUUAUUGCUGCAUUACUAAUUAUGGUCAGAAUUACCUGUUUGAAUAAUGAUAACAACCACCACCACAUGCUAGUUGUGAUGAUUAAUUUUAGGUAUUGACCUGACUGAAUUAAUGAAUAUAUAGCGAAGUGAUAAAGCAUAAUUUUGGGGUGUGUCUGUAAGGGUGUUUCUAGAGGCAAUUGGAGCGUGAGUCUCAGUGGACUAAGUGGGGAAGAUUCACCCUCAAUGUGGGUGGGCAUCAUCCAAUCAGCUGGAGGCCCAGAUAGAACAAAACAGAGGAAAAGUGAAUUGGUCUCUCUGUCCUGAAGUCGGGAUACACUCUUCUGCCCCUGGACAUGAGAAUGCCAGGCUCUCCAGCCUUUGGAUACCAGGACUCACACCAGCUCCCCUCUGGGUUCUCAGGCCUACAUACUUGGAAUGAGCCACGCUACUGGCACCCCAGGGUCUCUAGCUUGCAGAUGGCCUGUUGUGGGACUUCUCAGCCUUCAUAAUUGCAUAAGCCAAUUCUAAUAAAUCCCCUCUCCUGUAUCUGUAUCUAUAUUUUAUUGGUUUGGUCUCUCUGGAGAACCCUAACUAAUACAGUAGCAUAGGAUAUAGUCCUAGGUGUCCAUCUAGGAGACUGAGUAAUUUUGUAUCACCCAGCAUAGUGCUUUUUAGCAUACUUUAAAGAAUUAUGGAAUAAAUUAACAGACCUCUCGCUGGUUACAGAUGGUAAAAGACCAACUAAUUUUUCAUUCUAGUCAGCAGAUGGCAGUGUUUUACUUUAUUUAGCUAACUGAGGUUUGUUUCCUGAGUCUUGCAACACUCACUUUUAACUUAAUCCAUGAAAUAACACAGUAUUUUUGAGUUAACUUUAUACUUUUUGAACCAUAAAUAAAUGUUAUAGGAGUUGUUUUAGGUUUUUAAAAAUCGCACAUUUUUUAGUCAACUUGAGCUUUCUUAAGCUAUCUU
Molecule: long non-coding RNA, 1605 nt
Filed under: Homo sapiens (human)
Lineage: Eukaryota; Metazoa; Chordata; Mammalia; Primates; Hominidae
Description: HSALNT0320748
Source: RNAcentral